This 492-nucleotide ribosomal RNA is filed under the name uncultured bacterium. Its description in RNAcentral is "partial 16S ribosomal RNA". It matches the Rfam family "Bacterial small subunit ribosomal RNA", at positions 29 to 507 of the family's 1533-position model. The record is from RNAcentral.
AGUGAACGCUGGCGGUAGGCCUAACACAUGCAAGUCGAACGGCAGCACAGUAAGAGCUUGCUCUUACGGGUGGCGAGUGGCGGACGGGUGAGGAAUACAUCGGAAUCUACUUUUUCGUGGGGGAUAACGUAGGGAAACUUACGCUAAUACCGCAUACGACCUACGGGUGAAAGCAGGGGAUCUUCGGACCUUGCGCGAUUGAAUGAGCCGAUGUCGGAUUAGCUAGUUGGCGGGGUAAAGGCCCACCAAGGCGACGAUGCGUAGCUGGUCUGAGAGGAUGAUCAGCCACACUGGAACUGAGACACGGUCCAGACUCCUACGGGAGGCAGCAGUGGGGAAUAUUGGACAAUGGGCGCAAGCCUGAUCCAGCCAUGCCGCGUGGGUGAAGAAGGCCUUCGGGUUGUAAAGCCCUUUUGUUGGGAAAGAAAAGCAGCAGGUUAAUACCCCGCUGUUCUGACGGUACCCAAAGAAUAAGCACCGGCUAACUUCGUG